RNAcentral lists this ribosomal RNA (232 nucleotides) under uncultured bacterium. RNAcentral describes it as "partial 16S ribosomal RNA". It matches the Rfam family "Bacterial small subunit ribosomal RNA", at positions 99 to 334 of the family's 1533-position model. The record is from RNAcentral.
CGGACGGGGGAGUAAUGUCUGGGAAACUGCCUGAUGGAGGGGGAUAACUACUAGAAACGGUAGCUAAUACCGCAUAACGUCGCAAGACCAAAGAGGGGGACCUUCGGGCCUCUUGCCAUCGGAUGUGCCCAGAUGGGAUUAGCUAGUAGGUGGGGUAAAGGCUCACCUAGGCGACGAUCCCUAGCUGGUCUGAGAGGAUGACCAGCCACACUGGAACUGAGACACGGUCCAG